AGCUGACACAUUUUCUCUGCUCAUUAGAGCUGAGUGGCAGUGAAUUCCCUACAGCUGCGUGGGACAGUCCUGUAGCCUGCCCCACAAUCGUGUUCUCCUGCUACACAUUUGCUUGAGAGGGUUACGGUGGAUCCAGAGUCUAUCCCAGGAACACUGGGUGCAAGAUGGCGGGAAUACACCCUGGAUGGGAUGCAGAGCAUGUGAGCAGAGUGGAGCAGAUAGCGGAGCACUGAUAAUUCCACCUUUCUUAAGAUUCCGAAAACUGAGAAAUAGGCGGCUGUGGCUCAGUUGGUAGAGCGGGUUGCCUGCUAAUAGGGUUGGCGGUUCGAUUCCUGGCCCGGGUGACUCCACAUGUCGAAGUGUCCUUGGGCAAGACACUGUACCCCAAAUUGCUCCCGAUGGUAAGCUAGCAUGGCAACUCCUGCUACCACUGGGGUGUGUGUGUGAAUGGGUGAAUGAGACACAGUGUAAAGUGCUUUGGAUAAAAGUGCUAUAUAAGUGUGCCAUUUACCAUUUAAAUAGGAAUUAAAAAUUAAUAGAAAUGAAUAAAAGGCACAGAAUGUCACACACAAAAAUGAUUAUCUCUACUAAUGUAAUUGAGGCAUUUAUUCAAGAAAAUAGAAACAAGUAUAUUACAGAGAAAUUUUAUGUCAGAGCAGGAUUUGAGCGAACUUUGUUUUAUCGGUGAGCGUGAGCAGUACGAGUGGAGUGUUUGCUUGGGACGUGAGUGAUUGAGCAGAGCGCACUUGCAUAGAGCAGAUUAUUGAGUUCAGUGUCACACUGCUCCGUUUCACCCACAUGCUUUGAUGGGGUGCCAUGACACCAUGCUCGCACAUAUUUAUAUACUCAUGCAUGCUAAGGGGCAAUUUAUCUUAGCCUGACCACCUACUGGCAUGUUUUUGUGAGGUUGGAGGAAACUGGAGGAAACCCAGAGAGAACUGGCUUGAACCCUGGAGCUGUGAGGUGGCAAUGCUACCUGCUGAAACACCAUGCUACUUUUGUUGGGAACUCAACAUAUAAUAACAAGUACCUUCACCACUCCUGUUAGUACCCACCAAUUAAUUUCCAAUCUAUCCCCUGGACCCAGGCAUUUUGAAAGAGUUCUCAUAAUGCCCCUGUCUACACCUAUAAAGCUCAUCAUUCAUUCAUUUUCACUAACCACUUUAUCCUGGUCAAUGUUGUGCUGAAUUCAUAGCUCAUCCCUGGAACACUAGAAAUACACUCUGGAUGGGGCACCAGUAAAUCGCAGGACACCACAAACACAUCUGCAUACAUGAAUGUGCGUGGCAAUUAUAAAGAAAGAGUAGAGUGAGAGGAAACUAGAAGAAACCCACGUGGUCACAGGAAGAACACGUGAUUCUCCACACACAGUAAUGCGAGCUCAUGGUCAAACUGGGGAUAGUGGAACUGUGAGGCGGCACCGUUACCUGCUGCACCACUGUGUAAACCCCUUACAGAAGUCACAUAUUACUCGCACAAAUAAACAUGCAAUUCAGAAACUAAAUACACUGUAAAAUAAAGUUCACAUCCAUUGAACAUUCCCAUUUGUGCACGUGAAAACUAGUCUGUUAAUCACCGAGCCAACAGAUUUAGCCAAAGCAACGACACAGCCAGUGUCUUACAUCACAAUAAUUAAACAUCUUGAGUGUACACGAGGCCGUCUUUGACCAUGCUGUGAGUUUCAUCCUACUUUUUCUUACUCAGUCAGUAAAUUGCCACACAGCACACCACGGUUUCAUGUAGGCACCAAGCUGAAGCUGAACAUCAGUCUACUAGGCUUUUAUGUGAUGUGAGUAAAACACUAAUCCAUGCAAAUUGCAUAAUGAUAGGGGCACUGAUUUGCACAUUUGGUAGACUUUUAUGUCAGUGCAGUAAUCAUUUGCAGAGGCUGUAUGGUAGUAAAGCCAAAAAGCAGCUGUGGUGGCCGCAUAAAAGCCACUGACAGACACAAUAUUAGCCUUUGGGGGGAUAUCGACAUUCAUGCUGGUACUGCCUGUGCUGUUUAAAGUACCCAAUAGUCAUACUGAGAUAUUCUAUAUCUAUAUCUAUCUAUCUAUCUAUCUAUCUAU
This is a long non-coding RNA of Ictalurus punctatus (channel catfish), 2069 nucleotides long. The record is from Ensembl. NCBI's taxonomy places the organism in Eukaryota, Metazoa, Chordata, Actinopteri, Siluriformes, Ictaluridae.